This 240-nucleotide unclassified non-coding RNA is filed under the name soil metagenome. RNAcentral describes it as "partial contains 5.8S ribosomal RNA, internal transcribed spacer 2, and large subunit ribosomal RNA". The record is from RNAcentral.
AACUGAUACUACCUGCGGGAACCUGCGGAGGGAUCAUUACUGAAGUGAUUUGGGGAUGUUGCUGGCCCUCUCUCAAGGGGGGGCACUGUGCACUCCUCGAAACAAUUCACAAUUUCCAUCACACCCCUUGUGCACACCUUGUAGGCACCCAAACCCACCUCCGGGUGGUGGGGUCCUAUGUAUUCCUUCAUCUCACGCUCUGUUGAAUGGUGCCAUGGGACGCAUCUAAAGGAUUAUUUG